This 465-nucleotide ribosomal RNA is filed under the name uncultured bacterium. Its description in RNAcentral is "bacterial SSU rRNA". It matches the Rfam family "Bacterial small subunit ribosomal RNA", at positions 331 to 793 of the family's 1533-position model. The record is from RNAcentral.
CCAGACUCCUACGGGAGGCAGCAGUGAGGAAUAUUGGUCAAUGGGCUUACGCCUGAACCAGCCAAGUCGCGUGAGGGAAGACUGCCCUAUGGGUUGUAAACCUCUUUUGUCAGGGAGCAACGCCGGCUACGUGUAGCCGGACUGAGAGUACCUGAAGAAAAAGCAUCGGCUAACUCCGUGCCAGCAGCCGCGGUAAUACGGAGGAUGCGAGCGUUAUCCGGAUUUAUUGGGUUUAAAGGGUGCGUAGGCGGGCUGUUAAGUCAGCGGUCAAAUGUCGGGGCUCAACCCCGGCCUGCCGUUGAAACUGGCGGCCUCGAGUGGGCGAGAAGUAUGCGGAAUGCGUGGUGUAGCGGUGAAAUGCAUAGAUAUCACGCAGAACUCCGAUUGCGAAGGCAGCAUACCGGCGCCCGACUGACGCUGAGGCACGAAAGCGUGGGUAUCGAACAGGAUUAGAUACCCGAGUAC